Long non-coding RNA from Thalassophryne amazonica, 437 nucleotides. RefSeq lists it as uncharacterized. The transcript is spliced from 2 exons. The record is from RefSeq and is a predicted model, not a curated record. NCBI's taxonomy places the organism in Eukaryota, Metazoa, Chordata, Actinopteri, Batrachoidiformes, Batrachoididae.
UGUGUGUCAUACAGUUGGGGAAAUUCUAAAAACUUUUUAUAGUUUGUUAGUUUCUAACCUAAUCCUAACUUUUGGACUUAUAGACUGGCAGUGCUAAUCAAAAGAUGUCUGUGUGUGUUGGGGGUGGGGGGGCUGGCAAUGCUGUCAAAACGCAGGCCAUACACAAUAAUGGAGUAUGUGUGCCCCAAAAUAAUUUUCUGCUAUAAUGUGAACACACCGCUCAGUUAUAGGCUUUUGGGUUUUACUGCUUAUGUAUCAUGUCAGUUUUCGCUGUGUCUGUCCCCUGACUAUCCAGUCUACAUGCUGUGUACUAGAACCCGGAUUUGUUCUAUACCUGUGCAGAAAUGUGGCUACUUCCUGUAAGAAGUAUGGUGAAGCAAUUUACAUCAUUUUCUUUGAUUUAAAUAUAUAAUUAUUUUCGGUUUUAUGAAGUAGCA